AUGAUUGUUGGCCUCAGGGGCAAUAAGUGGGUUUUUACCUACUUUGUUGCACAACAUACACACCCUUUGAUGCAGCGUGAGGAGAUUGUGAGGUUCUACCGCUCACACCGCAAAAUUCCAGAAGAAGAUUACCAACUACUGAUGACAAUGCAUGAUGUAAACUUGUCAACUACAAAUUGCAUGGGAAUGCUUGGAAUGGUCCAUGGCGGAGACCGGAGGAAACUGCCAUAUGUGAAGAGGGAUGUUUCAAAUGCGCGUUCCAAGCUGCGACAAAAUCAGUCAUUUCAGGACAUGGAUAUGACGGUUGCUUACUUUAAGAGGCGUCAAGCUGAGAAUGCUCAAUUCUACUACGCAACAGAAGUUGACAAAGAAACAAACGAAGUGACAGCUCUGUUUUGGGUG
This 402-nucleotide ribosomal RNA is filed under the name Triticum aestivum (bread wheat). RNAcentral describes it as "partial small subunit ribosomal RNA". The record is from RNAcentral. Lineage: Eukaryota; Viridiplantae; Streptophyta; Magnoliopsida; Poales; Poaceae.